UGUCUUGUCUAAUGAAAGACUUGCUAACAUCAAAAAGAAUCACUAGAGAAAUCAAGCCAAACGCAUCCUAGGGAAAGAAAAGAAAUCUACCUUCAUAAGCAAACAGUCAAACCACCCACCUUGUCUGAAAAAAAGACUGGAAAAUCCCUUCAAACAAGUUCUAAUCCCUGACUGACAGAUGAUAUUGGGUUCCU
This 194-nucleotide long non-coding RNA is filed under the name Pogona vitticeps (central bearded dragon). Its description in RNAcentral is "lncRNA (ENSPVIG00000013028.1)". The record is from RNAcentral. Lineage: Eukaryota; Metazoa; Chordata; Lepidosauria; Squamata; Agamidae.